Myodes glareolus (Bank vole) is the source of this 1625-nucleotide non-coding RNA. The record is from RefSeq and is a predicted model, not a curated record. Lineage: Eukaryota; Metazoa; Chordata; Mammalia; Rodentia; Cricetidae.
GCAAGCUGCUGUUUCUCCUCAACUUCAUGCUCUAAGGAUUUCAUUCAACCUGGACACCCUCCGCCGAGACUCGUAGACGAGAUCGGAAAGAUGAGGAUCGUGGACUGGGUCAUCCUGUUGUGUGGCCAGGAUGCAUUGUGGAUUGAGAUAUAAUUAAAUAAGAGAUAAUUACAAAAUGGGGAAUACCCCGGGUAAAUCAGAGUUAAAGAGGUUGUUGUAAGAAACAGUUGUCUGGUUUUAAAUCUAAUGACCUAAAGAGGUAUAGCUAAAUUUUGAGAUGGUAUGUUGCCUAAUUUUCUAAAAUUCCAGACUGUGCCAAUUUACAUUUCCACCAAUCGUGGAAAGGUUUCUCUUAAGUAUAAACUGUGAGCAAUGUUUGAUCUUGGUCAUGUCAUUUAAAAUAAGAUAGUCUCAAAAGUUAUUUUGAUUUACAUUUCUUCUAUGAUUAAAGAUAUCAUAUUAAGGAUUUUUUAAAUAUCUUUCAGUCAUUUUUAAGUUUGUCCAUUGAGAGUUUUCAGUUUAGAUCUGUUACAUAUAUUUUAUUUCAUUAAUUGUUCUUUGGAGGACUGUUUCUGGAGUCCUAAUGUUUUCUGUAUGGAUUGAUGACUGACAAAGAUUUCCACAUCUGUAGCCAGAUAUGUCGAUCCUAUUAAUUAUUUCUCAAAAUGCUGACGGGAGGCAAUGUGCCCCCAUAAAGAUAACAAUUUUAAUAAUUCUAUCCAGUUAUGUAAAUGCUCACAUACUGGAUCAGAUAAUUAUUUUCUGCCCCUGGAAAGGUUCCAGGCGGAGUUGAUCCUAAAAUAUAUUUUGGGGCUGAUGGUUCAGCCCAGUUCAAGACCUGCUACAAUUGUGCAGGCCAAUAAAAAAUAAUGUUUUGAGGUUGGCUAAUUCAGGCCAAUGUUCAGGCCGGUUGCAAUGGCACAGGCCAAUGAAAUUUGCUCUUUGGAGCAGAGACCUGUAGGUCUCUAAGUUCAAGACCAGCCAACGUCAAUACUGGCUGAGCUAAGUUUUGUUCUAUUUGUUACUCCCAAUGUGUAACAUGGUCCAGUUCAUGCAUUAAUUUGGGGUAGAGGAGCGGUUUAUGUGUUUCCACAGGAUGCAAAGCAAUUCAUUUGGGUCCCUAAAUGUCUGGUGUGGACCGUGGAUUCCUCUAUUCAGAGACCUGAGGACAAGGCGAGAUCAAGAGACUCUGCGGGCGCGGCAGAGGCGGCGAGGAAGAUGACAGAUUCCUGAGAGAUGAUCCAGCGCCUGCCUUUGCCCCUUUCCCAGCUUCCUAUCUUUGCUCUGCCUUGAUCUGCCUACUUAGCCAAGGCUGUUCUACCCCCUGAGGGGAAGCAGCUACUUCCCCUACCCUAGAUUGCAGCAUUGAGUACUCUCAGCGGCGGGAACCUUGCAGGUCAGACAGAAAUACCAUGGACUUUCAAAUUAAUUUAAAUUCUCGAUUAGAUGCUUUUGUUGAAUCUUUACAAACUGGGUGUGGAUUUUGACCUCUGCUGGUCGCUGGUUAAGAUUUUGCUGCUUUUCUCGGACCCCGGAAUACAAAAUUGCUAAUUGGCUUUAAUUUAGUAUGGUUAGUCAUUCCAGUGGUCCCAUUUGCCGGUGCCGUAGCCUUACUCAAAAGGGCU